GGUCAACAAAUUUGGAUUAGGGACUUGGUCAAAGAUUGCGAACGAGAAUGCAGAGAACGUCCCAAUUGAAGUGAUGCAGUUGCUGGAAUCCGACGGUGAAGUGGGCGAAACUAGUGUGGUUGAAAUAGCAACGACAAGCUCAAUACCACCCGCAAACAAAAGUUGCCUUUUCUGGAUGCACCUCCACCUACGCCAUUAGUAUGUUCAAUUACAUUGCGGCAUUUAGAAUGGACUUCGUUAAACUUGUAUUCAACAGAUCCAUCCUGUGGACUUUUAUGAGUUGUCAUCAGCCAUGGUUCUAAAGCAUAUCCUGCAUCUCCUGGUGAGCUCGCAAUUCGCUGGUAUUCCAAAUGAAUGAAUCGUGGCACGCGCCGGGAUCUGAUGCGUCUACAUAUUGAAUCCUAAGCUCAUGGUCAUGGACCUGUAAUUUUUAUAUUAUUUAUCGCUAUGAGGAUCAAAUGAGGUGAAAAUUCUUACCAGCAUUCCUACAACCUGUAGUAUCCUUUCUUAUUGUAAUACAAAUGUUUAUUAGUACUGGGUGCGAUAAUUCGGACAUUCGGGUUCCGUCAACACAACCCAUAACACUUGGAAUACCAUGUUUUGUAUAAAAGCUCGUGCAAUUUUCCUUUUUUCAUUUUCUGUUCUGCAGAAUCUUAUCCAUCUUAGGCGUAGGUUUUCUUCAAAUAUCUGUAUCACUUCCGCCAGAACUUUGACAAGUCACAAUCUUUACCUAUUCCUGUUUGGUAACCACCUUCGACAAUGAGACGCAAUGCCGCACUUAACUACACUAUAGGGGCUACUGCAAACGUCUUUUGUGAUGGUAGAAUGUGGGAAUUUUUGAGACCAACGUAGACCACAGUCGUCACUACAUUGACGAUUUAUAAUACUUUUAGUAAUGUUCCCCUUUUACCAAACCGAUGGAUAACUCACAAACAGUUAUAUCAGCAGCCAAUACUACAUACAUAUAUGUUUUAUACACCAAACAUCUUUAAAAAUAUACCUAUUUCUAUGAAAUUUAGUUAAUAAACUUUUGAAAUCCCAAUAAAAACAAAGAAAUUAACAAAAAAUUA
This is a long non-coding RNA of Stomoxys calcitrans (stable fly), 1070 nucleotides long. RefSeq lists it as uncharacterized. The transcript is spliced from 4 exons. The record is from RefSeq and is a predicted model, not a curated record. Lineage: Eukaryota; Metazoa; Arthropoda; Insecta; Diptera; Muscidae.